Molecule: transfer RNA, 69 nt
Filed under: Phenacomys intermedius (western heather vole)
Lineage: Eukaryota; Metazoa; Chordata; Mammalia; Rodentia; Cricetidae
Description: tRNA-Val
Rfam family: tRNA
About the family: Transfer RNA (tRNA) molecules are approximately 80 nucleotides in length. Their secondary structure includes four short double-helical elements and three loops (D, anti-codon, and T loops).
Source: RNAcentral
CACAGUGUAGCUUAACAAUUAAAGCAUCUGGCCUACACCCAGAAGACUCCACAACAAUGGACACUUUGA